GGCGAGCGGGUGAGUAACACAAGGGUAAUCUGCCCUUAAAUUAGGGAUAACCUUGCGAAAGCGAAGCUAAUACCUGAUAAGACUACGACCUCUUAGGGGGUUGUAGGAAAAGAUGGCCUCUGUUUCAAGCUAUCGUUUAAGGAUGAGCCCUUGCACUAUUAGCUUGUUGGCGGGGUAACGGCCCACCAAGGCUACGAUGGUUAGUUGGUCUGAGAGGAUGACCAGCCACACUGGAACUGAGACACGGUCCAGACUCCUACGGGAGGCAGCAGUGAGGAAUAUUGCGCAAUGGGGGAAACCCUGACGCAGUGACGCCGCGUGAGUGAUGAAGGCUUUCGAGUCGUAAAGCUCUGUUAGGUGGAAAGAAACAUUCCAGUGCCAAUACCACUGGAACUUGACGGUACCACCAGAGGAAGCACCGGCUAACUCCGUGCCAGCAGCCGCGGUAAUACGGAGGGUGCAAGCGUUGUUCGGAAUUACUGGGCGUAAAGGGCGUGUAGGCGGUUAGGCAAGUCAGGUGUGAAAUCCCUUGGCUCAACCAAGGAAGUGCGUUUGAAACUGCUUAACUAGAGUACAGGAGGGGAAAGUGGAAUUCCC
Molecule: ribosomal RNA, 597 nt
Filed under: uncultured Pseudomonadota bacterium
Lineage: Bacteria; Pseudomonadati; Pseudomonadota
Description: bacterial SSU rRNA
Rfam family: Bacterial small subunit ribosomal RNA
Source: RNAcentral